UGAUUUACUCAUCUACGUCAGGUCAAAGUGCAGCUAAUGAAGGGGAGAUGAUGGGUUACACCCCCGAUAUCGGAACAAACCAUGAUACUAAUAAUCAUGUGAAGUUGGACUUGACUGUAAUUGUCACUAAAUAUAACAAUGAAACUGAAUCUAAGACAUGCACACAUCGCCCGUCACUCUCGCCCCCAGGCGAGAUAAGUCGUAACAGAGUAGGUGUAACGGAAGUUGCACCUGU
This 235-nucleotide ribosomal RNA is filed under the name Dendrobaena pentheri. RNAcentral's name for it is "partial 12S ribosomal RNA". The record is from RNAcentral. Lineage: Eukaryota; Metazoa; Annelida; Clitellata; Crassiclitellata; Lumbricidae.